ACAAUGGGCGAAAGCCUGAUGCAGCCAUGCCGCGUGUAUGAAGAAGGCCUUCGGGUUGUAAAGUACUUUCAGUUGUGAGGAAGGGGGUGUCGUUAAUAGCGGCAUCUCUUGACGUUAACAACAGAAGAAGCACCGGCUAACUCCGUGCCAGCAGCCGCGGUAAUACGGAGGGUGCGAGCGUUAAUCGGAAUUACUGGGCGUAAAGCGCAUGCAGGUGGUUCAUUAAGUCAGAUGUGAAAGCCCGGGGCUCAACCUCGGAACUGCAUUUGAAACUGAUGAACUAGAGUACUGUAGAGGGGGGUAGAAUUUCAGGUGUAGCGGUGAAAUGCGUAGAG
This 335-nucleotide ribosomal RNA is filed under the name Vibrio sp. HI00D65. RNAcentral's name for it is "bacterial SSU rRNA". It matches the Rfam family "Bacterial small subunit ribosomal RNA", at positions 368 to 695 of the family's 1533-position model. The record is from RNAcentral. Lineage: Bacteria; Pseudomonadati; Pseudomonadota; Gammaproteobacteria; Vibrionales; Vibrionaceae.